Molecule: ribosomal RNA, 473 nt
Filed under: uncultured bacterium
Lineage: Bacteria
Description: bacterial SSU rRNA
Rfam family: Bacterial small subunit ribosomal RNA
Source: RNAcentral
GUUAACGGCUGGUCGGCGGUGCCUAACACAUGCAAGUCGAACGGUUCUAAGCGCGAGCUUAGGAUAGUGGCGAACGGGUGAGUAAAAGGUAGGAAUCUACCCCUUGGACGGAGAUAGCUACUGGAAACGGUAGGUAAACUUCGAUAAGCCCGAGAGGGGAAAGUGGUGAGACAGCCGAGGGAUGAGCCUACUCUCCAUCAGGUAGUUGGUGAGAUAAAAGCUUACCAAGCCGAUGACGGAUAACCGGUGUGAGAGCAUGAACGGUCACAAGGGCACUGAGAGACGGGCCCUACUCCUACGGGAGGCAGCAGUGGGGAAUCUUGGACAAUGGGCGAAAGCCUGAUCCAGCGACGCCGCGUGGAGGAAGAAGGCCUUCGGGUUGUAAACUGCUUUAGUCUAGGAAAAAAGGGGUGCGAGGUUAAUACCCUCGUGCUUUGAUGGUACUGGAAGAAUAAGCACCGGCUAACUACGUG